AGCGAACGUUUGCGGCGGGCCUAACACAUGCAAGUCGAACGCACUAGCAAUAGUGAGUGGCGCACGGGUGCGUAACACGUGGGUAAUCAACCCUUCAGCCUGGGAUAACGACUCGAAAGGGUCGCUAAUACCGGAUACGGCGCGAGAGGCUUCGGCUUCUCACGAGAAAGCCACGCAAGGGGCACUGAAGGACGAGCCUGCGGCCUAUCAGCUAGUUGGUGAGGUAAGAGCUCACCAAGGCUAAGACGGGUAGCUGGUCUGAGAGGAUGAUCAGCCACACUGGAACUGAGACACGGUCCAGACUCCUACGGGAGGCAGCAGUGGGGAAUAUUGCGCAAUGGGCGAAAGCCUGACGCAGCCACGCCGCGUGAGCGAUGAAGGCCUCGGUCGUAAAGCUCUGUGGGAGAGACGAAGAAGACCUGUGAAGAGCAGGCCUUGACGGUAGUCU
Molecule: ribosomal RNA, 448 nt
Filed under: uncultured bacterium
Lineage: Bacteria
Description: bacterial SSU rRNA
Rfam family: Bacterial small subunit ribosomal RNA
Source: RNAcentral